Molecule: non-coding RNA, 594 nt
Organism: Stegastes partitus (bicolor damselfish)
Lineage: Eukaryota; Metazoa; Chordata; Actinopteri; Pomacentridae
Source: the annotation of a RefSeq genome assembly
GAAGGAGGAAAGGAUGAAGGGAGGAGCUAAACUGGGACUCAAGUACAGAAAACACAAACUUUCACAGUGGAGUUUGAUCCAGAAAACAGACAGAUUGUCUUCAUCUUCAAGAUGCUGUCAGUGAACUUGAGUCUGUUUGUCACUUUGUUUCUGCUCACAAUAAGAGGGUGUAAAGGAGAAGACAAAGUGACACAGCCACCAGGAGAUGUCAUUGCUGCUGAAGGAGACACAGUUACACUGAAUUGUACUUUUGACACCAUUGACCUAAGUCCAACUCUCUUCUGGUACAAACAGGAAGUAAAUGGUUCCCCACAGUAUAUGAUGAAAAGUUUCUCAAAGUCUGUGGAUAAAGCUCCAGAGUUCCAGGAAGACAGACUUCAUACUGGAAUCCAGGAUAAGUCAGUUCCUCUGAAGAUCCAGAAACUUCAGCUGUCUGACUCUGCUGUGUACUACUGUGCUCUGAAGCCCACAGUGACAGGAAACAGCAAAACUCUGUACAAAAACCUUUGGAGCAAAGACAAGAGAAAACUCCACAACAUCCACUGGAGGGAGACACACUCCGUUAAAGCUCUGACUUGUGACUUGUUGGACUGA